AGAGGAAGUAAAAGUCGUAACAAGGUUUCCGUAGGUGAACCUGCGGAAGGAUCAUUAUCGAGUUUUGAACGGGUUGUAGCUGGCCUCAUACGGGGCAUGUGCACGCCUGGCUCAUCCACUCUUCAACCUCUGUGCACUUAUUGUAGAUCGGUGAUAAGGUCGAGUUCUUUCACGAGUUCUUGACUGGAAAAACCUUUCUACGUUUUUACCACAAACGCUUCAGUUAUAGAAUGUUUAUCUGCGUAUAACGCAUCUUUAUACAACUUUCAGCAACGGAUCUCUUGGCUCUCGCAUCGAUGAAGAACGCAGCGAAAUGCGAUAAGUAAUGUGAAUUGCAGAAUUCAGUGAAUCAUCGAAUCUUUGAACGCACCUUGCGCUCCCUGGUAUUCCGGGGAGCAUGCCUGUUUGAGUGUCAUGGAAUUCUCAACUCUUAAUACUUUUUUGUAUCAAGAGCUUGGACUUGGAGGCUUGUGCUGGCUGCUCGUUCAGUCGGCUCCUCUGAAAUGCAUUAGCGUGAAUUAAUAUGGAUCGCUUCGGUGUGAUAAUUAUCUGCGCCGUAGUCGUGAAGUACUUGAUAACGUUUACGCUUCUAAUCGUCCUUCACGGGACAAUUAAACCUUGACUUUUUGACCUCAAAUCAGGUAGGACUACCCGCUGAACUUAA
Molecule: ribosomal RNA, 664 nt
Filed under: Phlebiopsis flavidoalba
Lineage: Eukaryota; Fungi; Basidiomycota; Agaricomycetes; Polyporales; Phanerochaetaceae
Description: eukaryotic LSU rRNA
Rfam family: 5.8S ribosomal RNA (bases 262-415)
Source: RNAcentral